RNAcentral lists this long non-coding RNA (231 nucleotides) under Phoenix dactylifera (date palm). RNAcentral's name for it is "long non-coding RNA (PDAC_LNC005418)". The record is from RNAcentral. Lineage: Eukaryota; Viridiplantae; Streptophyta; Magnoliopsida; Arecales; Arecaceae.
AAGCAGCAUAUCAACUUGGAUCGACGCUUUAAAAGAAGAAUCGAAGCGGCGUCUCGUCGGAUACUGGAGCCUCAUCAUGAACCUGCGGCUCGAAACCGCCUCAAAAAGGCAAAAAGCUGCCACGACGUGCUCUCAUUAAAGACGUCUCUGAAACGCUUGAAGCGAUGAAGCAAUUUAAAGCCGUCUGAUUCCACCUGCGUGAUGAAAAUAAUUACUUCCUUGUCCGAGCUC